This 700-nucleotide ribosomal RNA is filed under the name uncultured bacterium. RNAcentral's name for it is "bacterial SSU rRNA". It matches the Rfam family "Bacterial small subunit ribosomal RNA", at positions 8 to 687 of the family's 1533-position model. The record is from RNAcentral.
AGAGUUUGAUCAUGGCUCAGAAUCAACGCUGGCGGCGUGCCUAACACAUGCAAGUCGAACGCGAAAGUGGAGCAAUCCAUGAGUAGAGUGGCAAACGGGUGAGUAACGCGUGGGUGACCUGCCUUCGAGUGGGGGAUAACGUUUCGAAAGGAACGCUAAUACCGCAUAACAUCCUGCUUUUUAAGAGGUGGAGAGCAAAGCCGGGGAUCGCAAGACCUGGCGCUUGAAGAGGGGCCCGCGUCUGAUUAGCUAGUUGGUGGGGUAAUGGCUCACCAAGGCAACGAUCAGUAUCCGGCCUGAGAGGGCGGACGGACACACUGGGACUGAGACACGGCCCAGACUCCUACGGGAGGCAGCAGUGGGGAAUUGUUCGCAAUGGGCGCAAGCCUGACGACGCAACGCCGCGUGGAGGAUGAAGACCUUCGGGUCGUAAACUCCUUUCGAUCGAGACGAAUGGGUUUCGGGCUAACAUCCCGGAAUAUUGACGGUACCGAGAGAAGAAGCCCCGGCUAACUCCGUGCCAGCAGCCGCGGUAAUACGGGGGGGGCAAGCGUUGUUCGGAAUUACUGGGCGUAAAGGGCUCGUAGGUGGCCAACUAAGUCAUACGUGAAAUCCCUCAGCUUAACUGGGGAACUGCGUCUGAUACUGGAUGGCUUGAGUUUGGGAGAGGGAUGCGGAAUUCCAGGUGUAGCGGUGAAAU